Acanthosepion pharaonis is the source of this 109-nucleotide non-coding RNA. The record is from the annotation of a GenBank genome assembly. Lineage: Eukaryota; Metazoa; Mollusca; Cephalopoda; Sepiida; Sepiidae.
GUCAUUUCACAUUGAAACACAGAUUCUCAUAUGAUCACCAAAGUUAAACAAUGUUGAGCCUGGUCAGUACCUAGAUGAGUGACCGCAUGUGAAUAUCAGGUGCUGUAAG